Molecule: transfer RNA, 71 nt
Filed under: Streptococcus pneumoniae
Lineage: Bacteria; Bacillati; Bacillota; Bacilli; Lactobacillales; Streptococcaceae
Description: tRNA-Gly
Rfam family: tRNA
About the family: Transfer RNA (tRNA) molecules are approximately 80 nucleotides in length.
Source: RNAcentral
GCGGGUGUAGGUUAGUGGUAAAACUACAGCCUUCCAAGCUGUUGUCGCGAGUUCGAUUCUCGUCACCCGCU